UAGGGAAUAUUGCAUAAUGGGCGAAAGCCUGAUGCAGCAACGCCGCGUGCGCGAUGAAGGCCUUCGGGUCGUAAAGCGCUUUUCGAGGGGAUGAGGAAGGACAGUACCCUCGGAAUAAGUCUCGGCUAACUACGUGCCAGCAGCCGCGGUAAAACGUAGGAGGCGAGCGUUAUCCGGAUUUACUGGGCGUAAAGCGCGUGCAGGCGGCUUGGAAAGUUGGCUGUGAAAGCUCCCGGCUUAACUGGGAGAGGUCGGUCAAGACUUCCAGGCUUGAGGAUGGUAGAGGGAGGUGGAAUUCCGGGUGUAGUGGUGAAAUGCGUAGAUAUCCGGAGGAACACCAGUGGCGAAAGCGGCCUCCUGGACCAUUUCUGACGCUCAGACGCGAAAGCUAGGGGAGCAAACGGG
RNAcentral lists this ribosomal RNA (405 nucleotides) under uncultured prokaryote. RNAcentral describes it as "bacterial SSU rRNA". It matches the Rfam family "Bacterial small subunit ribosomal RNA", at positions 355 to 776 of the family's 1533-position model. The record is from RNAcentral. RNAcentral also lists the same sequence under 1 other name.